UACGGAGGGUGCAAGCGUUAUCCGGAUUCACUGGGGUUAAAGGGUGCGUAGGUGGGCAAGUAAGUCAGUGGUGAAAUCUCCGGGCUUAACCCGGAAACUGCCAUUGAUACUAUUUGUCUUGAAUACUGUGGAGGUCAGCGGAAUAUGUCAUGUAGCGGUGAAAUGCUUAGAUAUGACAUAGAACACCAAUUGCGAAGGCAGCUGGCUACACAAAUAUUGACACUGAGGCACGAAAGCGUGGGGAUCAAACAGG
This 253-nucleotide ribosomal RNA is filed under the name uncultured bacterium. RNAcentral describes it as "partial 16S ribosomal RNA". It matches the Rfam family "Bacterial small subunit ribosomal RNA", at positions 524 to 776 of the family's 1533-position model. The record is from RNAcentral.